RNAcentral lists this ribosomal RNA (253 nucleotides) under uncultured bacterium. RNAcentral's name for it is "partial 16S ribosomal RNA". It matches the Rfam family "Bacterial small subunit ribosomal RNA", at positions 524 to 776 of the family's 1533-position model. The record is from RNAcentral.
UACGUAGGGCGCGAGCGUUGUCCGGAUUUAUUGGGCGUAAAGAGCUCGUAGGCGGCUCGUUGCGUCAACCGUGAAAACCCGCGGCUCAACUGUGGGCUUGCAGCUGAUACGGGCGGGCUGGAGUUCGGUAGGGGAGACUGGAAUUCCUGGUGUAGCGGUGAAAUGCGCAGAUAUCAGGAGGAACACCGGUGGCGAAGGCGGGUCUCUGGGCCGAUACUGACGCUGAGGAGCGAAAGCGUGGGGAGCGAACAGG